RNAcentral lists this unclassified non-coding RNA (327 nucleotides) under soil metagenome. RNAcentral describes it as "partial contains 5.8S ribosomal RNA, internal transcribed spacer 2, and large subunit ribosomal RNA". The stretch from base 1 to 120 matches the Rfam family "5.8S ribosomal RNA", at positions 35 to 154 of the family's 154-position model. The record is from RNAcentral.
GAUGAAGAACGUAGCGAAAUGCGAUAAGUAAUGUGAAUUGCAGAAUUCAGUGAAUCAUCGAAUCUUUGAACGCACAUUGCGCCCUUUGGUAUUCCGAAGGGCAUGCCUGUUCGAGCGUCAUUUCACCACUCAAGCCUGGCUUGGUAUUGGGCGCCGCGGUCGAUCCGCGCGCCUCAAAGUCUCCGGCUGAGCUGUCCGUCUCUAAGCGUUGUGAUUUCAUUAAUCGCUUCGGAGUGCGGGCGGCCGCGGCCGUUCAAUCUUUCACAAGGUUGACCUCGGAUCAGGUAGGGAUACCCGCUGAACUUAAGCAUAUCAAUAAGCGGAGGA